GAUGAACGCUGGCGGCGUGCCUAAUACAUGCAAGUCGAACGCUGGAGAUCUAGCUUGCUAGAUCGAAGGAGUGGCGAACGGGUGAGUAAUACAUAAGCAACCUACCCACGAAGACUGGGAUAAUCUCUGGAAACGGGGACUAAUACCGGAUAGGUAAUCGGAAGGCAUCUUCUGAUUAUUAAAGGUUAAAAACACUGGUGGAUGGGCUUAUGGCGCAUUAGUUAGUUGGUGAGGUAACGGCCCACCAAGACGAUGAUGCGUAGCCGGCCUGAGAGGGUGAACGGCCACAUUGGGAGUGAGACACGGCCCAGACUCCUACGGGAGGCAGCAGUAGGGAAUUUUCGGCAAUGGGGGAAACCCUGACCGAGCAACGCCGCGUGAGUGAUGACGGCCUUCGGGUUGUAAAGCUCUGUUGUAAGGGAAGAACGGUAG
RNAcentral lists this ribosomal RNA (432 nucleotides) under uncultured bacterium. RNAcentral's name for it is "bacterial SSU rRNA". It matches the Rfam family "Bacterial small subunit ribosomal RNA", at positions 28 to 455 of the family's 1533-position model. The record is from RNAcentral.